AAAAACUGAAUGCUUAAGGUGGUACCUAACACUACAGGGAGAUAACUCUGUAAUAUCAGCUAAACGUUUUAAUUACGUUGCGUUGUGAAGGCAAUAUAAAGCUUCUCAAUGAUCAAAAUUAGUGUUUGUCAAACUGCUAUAUAACCAGUGUAAUUUUUCUGAUAAAACGCUUGGUUCAAAUUUUUUCAUUUUUUUUAUAUUUUUGUUAAAGGGUCAAAGUAAAUACUUUGUAAAAAUUUUAUGAAAAUUAAACGAGCCAAAUUAAUUUUAGUGAAAGUGUUGGGUACCACCUUAA
This 295-nucleotide long non-coding RNA is filed under the name Mytilus galloprovincialis (Mediterranean mussel). Lineage: Eukaryota; Metazoa; Mollusca; Bivalvia; Mytilida; Mytilidae. The record is from RNAcentral.